Molecule: non-coding RNA, 73 nt
Organism: Ixodes scapularis (black-legged tick)
Lineage: Eukaryota; Metazoa; Arthropoda; Arachnida; Ixodida; Ixodidae
Source: Rfam
GGUGGAGUGGUGUAGAGGUUAGCACACCCGACCGGACAUUGGAAGGCCCAUAGUUCAAAUCCUGGCUCCGCCG